This 1146-nucleotide long non-coding RNA is filed under the name Lepisosteus oculatus (spotted gar). RNAcentral describes it as "lncRNA (ENSLOCG00000022505.1)". Lineage: Eukaryota; Metazoa; Chordata; Actinopteri; Semionotiformes; Lepisosteidae. The record is from RNAcentral.
UCAGAGGUGAUGUGUGGGAUUGCAAGACAUGUUUGACUGACCCUAGACCGAGAGGGGGGCCUCCAGAACAGAGUAAGAAUAGACUGGCCAUCUGCAUACAGCCAGGUCAUUAAUUAGCCUGAGUUGUUAGCUCUGCCUGCACCCGGGACAUCACAAGGACAGAUUCCACCCCCCUUCUCUGGACUCUUGAGCCCUGACAAGGAGGACUCGGGAGAAUCACUGACACAGACUGCCCCUCUCUGUACAGGUGAGGGCUUGGACAUCAGGCACUCUGCAGGUAGCAGCUGAAGAAGACAUCUCCUUCCUCCUCUCCUACCUGAUAUUGGACUUGAGAAACAGGGUGGUGUGGGACAUAAGGGACCACUUUGUUUGGGACGGCCAGGACUGUGACAAUCAUCAAAAAUUGAUGCAGCUUGUCCCCUAUAUCUGAGUGAGGAACACUGGAGACACAGGGACUAAAUAGGAACAAGAAACAAGACACACUGGAAGGACAUGAAUAUGCACACGGAACUAGGAACAGGAAUGAAGUGGAACACCCUCUAGGGGUUGGAUGUCGACCAUGCAAGUACCACACAUAGAAUAAGCUGCACAGCCCAGGGGAGGAGGAAAAACCUCAUUUAACUGUCAGGAAACCUCCGGGAGUCCACGGCUGAGAUCUACCCCCUCCUCCAGGGUAAUACAAUAAACUUUAUUAACAUGUGGUAGAGGGAGCCGGAAGUCCAUGACAGUUGUGGCCAACAUUAAGGUAGUGUCAACAUUUGCAGUUUUUGGGAUCUUCAAAGCAAGGAAGAAGAUAUAACAACAUCUUAAUUUUAUAAAGAGCUGUUGAUCAUUCAAAAAUAAAACCAAAUACAGAAAUCUUGCAAAAGUCACUUCUAGCAUCAAUCACUCAGUGGUUGGCACAUAUGCUGUAUCUUACAUGUCAUUAUGUCGUAUGUUUAUAUGUAACAUACUAAAGCCUUUUACAAAUGUACUACAGUUUUGAAAGGCAUUGGCCACUCAUAGCCAUUUGGUAUGAUCCUGUGUUCUGGAAACUUUGCAACAAGAUUUGAGAAUAAGUGUAUUCCUUAACAGUCCAGCAAGCCAUUUUUUCACUAGCAGAGUGUGUGCAUGCAUUUGUUUUUUUUUAGAAAAAAAAAAGAUCAG